Molecule: transfer RNA, 76 nt
Filed under: uncultured bacterium
Lineage: Bacteria
Description: tRNA-Asp
Rfam family: tRNA
About the family: Transfer RNA (tRNA) molecules are approximately 80 nucleotides in length. Their secondary structure includes four short double-helical elements and three loops (D, anti-codon, and T loops). Further hydrogen bonds mediate the characteristic L-shaped molecular structure. tRNAs have two regions of fundamental functional importance: the anti-codon, which is responsible for specific mRNA codon recognition, and the 3' end, to which the tRNAs corresponding amino acid is attached (by aminoacyl-tRNA synthetases). tRNAs cope with the degeneracy of the genetic code in two manners: having more than one tRNA (with a specific anti-codon) for a particular amino acid; and 'wobble' base-pairing, i.e. permitting non-standard base-pairing at the 3rd anti-codon position.
Source: RNAcentral
AGGUCCGUCGUCCAGCGGUCUAGGAUCUCCGGCUGUCUACCGGAAGACGCGGGUUCGAAUCCCGUCGGAUCUGCCA